GGCUCUGUGGCGCAAUGGAUAGCGCAUUGGACUUCUAGGCUGUGAGCUGAGCCAUUUAAAGGUUGUGGGUUCGAGUCCCACCAGAGUUG
RNAcentral lists this transfer RNA (89 nucleotides) under Danio rerio (zebrafish). It matches the Rfam family "tRNA". From Rfam's summary of the family: Transfer RNA (tRNA) molecules are approximately 80 nucleotides in length. Their secondary structure includes four short double-helical elements and three loops (D, anti-codon, and T loops). Lineage: Eukaryota; Metazoa; Chordata; Actinopteri; Cypriniformes; Danionidae. The record is from Rfam by way of RNAcentral.